CCUUGUCCGUUUUGCAGCCUCAAGUCCCAAGUCUGGGUCUCUGCCCGAAUGUGUGUCUGGAAAGGUAGUCUGCGGGGAGUGGACUAUUCAAUUUGUCCCCUGCCCCCAGUGCCCUCACCAGCCUGAUGGCCUCUCUUGGCCCUGAGGGCAGCAUGGGUGCGGUACCUCCCUGGAGACCUCCGUCUGUCAGGCCUGAGUCAGCCUUCCAUAGGUUUUUCACCAGUCCUCUGCUGCCGGGGCUAGACGCUGCACCAGGGCAGAGCAGCCUGGCUCAAAGCAGAGAUUCUGUGCCUGUGGAUCUGACGACCAUGCACCUGACCCAUCACAGGAGUCUGGGGCCAUGUGAACAGCAUCUCCACCAGACAGGUGGCAGACAGGUUCCCACGGGGUCACACCUCUGGGUGUCGUUCCCUCAUCCCCUUCUCUUUCCUUGCCUGGCCUCCUGUUUGGCAACUUGCUGGCCAAGGUUUCCCCCAAGCUUCCAGCUCACCCAAACUGAAUCACAGCCCAGAGUGUUUGUCUGUGACCCUAUGGAUGGACAUUCGGGUCCUUCCCACUGUUUGGCUGUUGCAGACACUGCUGCCCGUGGCAUCCCGCAUGCCUGUCUGAGCCACCACCGUCAGCGAGAAAGGCUCUGGGGUGCACAGCCGGCAGUGGCUCUGCUGGGACUUGGGCUGUGCCCAUCAACGCCACGACCAAGCAUGGCUCAUCUGUGACCUCCGGGAGAGACACCACCUCAUCGCUGUGUGCCUUGGGUUUCCCCGAUCGGUGACGAGGUCUCUCACUGGCCGUUCCCGGUUCCUCUUCUGUGAAUCUCCUUUGCUCCUUUCCUCCUCAUCUUACAGGUGACAGGCGUCAUCAGCCCGUUUCCAGGAGAAAGUUCCUAGCGUCAAGAUCGAAGCCUUUCUCCUUUUGUGAUAUAAGCCAUGGCCAGUCUAUCACGUUGCCCAGAAGCAGGUCGCAUUGGAGUGGGCCUCACAAUUAGACUUUGGCUCGCCCGUAUGGUUGUGAAACGUUUCAGAAUCAAGAUGGAGUCACUUGUUGUUCAAGCAAACAAAAAUCCAAAAACCUGACAAAUAGAGCUGUGGAGGGCCAUGGAGGCAGGGUUCCCAUGCACGAAUGCCUGAUAACAAAAGCCAUCACAGAAGACUGCAAAACCCACAAAUUGGCACAAAGGCUGUUGCAACCUGACACAAAUAAUGCUUCUGCGAGGACACCUGCCCAGCAACUUCCUGUCCAAGUCCCUGACCAAUGCUACCCUUGUUAUUCAUCCUUGUAGCCAAAGAUCAUUAUCUCAAAACAAUUAUGUAAUCCUCUUCACUUUUCCUGAAAAACCUUUGUCUUCCUUUUCCCUGCCUGAAUAUGCACAUAGUUCACUAGGGCGCACGCGUCCCCACUGCAACGCCUAUUUCUGAAUAGAUACCAUUUUCUUAUA
Non-coding RNA from Macaca mulatta (Rhesus monkey), 1435 nucleotides. Lineage: Eukaryota; Metazoa; Chordata; Mammalia; Primates; Cercopithecidae. The record is from RefSeq and is a predicted model, not a curated record.